Molecule: unclassified non-coding RNA, 312 nt
Filed under: plant metagenome
Description: partial contains 5.8S ribosomal RNA, internal transcribed spacer 2, and large subunit ribosomal RNA
Rfam family: 5.8S ribosomal RNA (bases 1-105)
Source: RNAcentral
GAAAUGCGAUAAGUAAUGUGAAUUGCAGAAUUCCGUGAAUCAUCGAAUCUUUGAACGCACAUUGCGCCCUCUGGCAUUCCGGGGGGCAUGCCUGUCCGAGCGUCAUUACGCACCCUCAAGCCCGUCUUGUGUGAUGGGCCCCGGCGUCUCGUUCGCGAGACGGGCCCGAAAGGCAGCGGCGGCGUCGACCCGAUGAGCCCGAGCGUAUGGGGACUUCUGUCACACGUUCGCGGUGCGGACCGGCGCCUGCUUGACUUUUCUGAUUAUCCAGGUUGACCUCGGAUCAGGUAGGGAUACCCGCUGAACUUAAGC